AGCAGCCGCGGUAAUUCCAGCUCCAAUAGCGUAUAUUAAAGUUGUUGCAGUUAAAAAGCUCGUAGUUGAAUUUCGGGAUCAAUAUGUUGGUCGUGCCUCGGUACGUACUAGCAUAUUGGUUUCUCCUUUCUGAAGAACCAUGAUGUCAUUCAUUUGGUGUCGUGGGGAAUCAGGACUGUUACUUUGAAAAAAGUUAGAGUGUUUAAAGCAGGCUCACGCUUGAAUACAUUAGCAUGGAAUAAUGAAAUAGGACGUUUGAUUCUAUUUUGUUGGUUUCUAGGAUCGACGUAAUGAUUAAUAGGGAUAGUUGGGGGCAUUAGUAUUCAAUUGUCAGAGGUGAAAUUCUUGGAUUUAUUGAAGACUAACUACUGCGAAAGCAUUUGCCAAGGAUGUUUUCAUUAAUCAAGAACGAAAGAUUAGGGGUAUCGAGACGAUCAGGAUACCGUCGUAGUC
RNAcentral lists this unclassified non-coding RNA (453 nucleotides) under uncultured Glomus. RNAcentral's name for it is "SSU rRNA". It matches the Rfam family "Eukaryotic small subunit ribosomal RNA", at positions 569 to 1025 of the family's 1831-position model. Lineage: Eukaryota; Fungi; Glomeromycota; Glomeromycetes; Glomerales; Glomeraceae. The record is from RNAcentral.